This 22583-nucleotide long non-coding RNA is filed under the name Vitis vinifera (wine grape). Its description in RNAcentral is "long non-coding RNA (VVIN_LNC005261)". The record is from RNAcentral. Lineage: Eukaryota; Viridiplantae; Streptophyta; Magnoliopsida; Vitales; Vitaceae.
GACACAGUUGAUGCAGAAAGUGGGGUACUUCCUGGCCAGAAUCCUUGUGCAGGCAUUCAAGGCUGCUUUGGAGACAAUAUAGGCAGAGAGAUAAGAGGGCCAGCUAUGAGCUUCUAAUAAUCCCUCUUUGAAAUCUUUUAGAAACUCUUUCAAAACCUCAUCCACCCUCUCCUCUGUAAGGUUUUGGGCAUCAUUUAAUACUCCCUUAGCCCAUUCAUUUAUAACAUUCUGCAACAACACAUCAAGAAAGGUAUUUCUCAAUUUGGAAACAGAAACUCCAGUUCUAAAGAAAGUAACUAUGGGAAAUGUUUCAUAAACUCUCUUCUCUAAUAUCUCAAAAAAUCCAUAGCUAACUUAACCUCUGGAGAGGGGUCGACCAAACUAGCCUCCCCACUCUUACCAGUUCCCAUCUAUUUGCAGUGAACAUGUGACCGUGUGAAGCCUGCGACUUGUCACCAAAGAAGAAGGCACAUUUAAUCAUCCACAAGAGAUGAUAUGUGCUUGUGAUUCAACUUUGUUGAAUUUCAAGUCAAAUUGCCCAGUGAAAAACUUGGUUGAACAUUUAAAGUGGGUGCCAACAAUCUAUUUCUGAAUGAGGGUUAAUGUUAUCUUUGUACCUUUAACUUCCCUGCAGAAGAGGAAACAUUAACGAUCCUUGGCGAAUCUGAUAGCUGGAGAAGGGGAGUAAGUGCUUCAAUGAUCCUCUUUGGCCCAUAAUAGUUUACUUUCAGGCAUUCUUCCGCCUGCUCGAAAGGCUCAAUCAUUAUUUCUUUCCAGUUGAUUUUUCCCAGUCCUGCCUGCAUUAUAGAAUAACAAAAAAACUCAAUCCCUUUGGUAGCCAUUACACUUCCUACUCCACCAACAAGAAAAGGAGAAGAGGAAAACCGUCUAUAAUUCCAGAGAUUUUCUUUUCAAGAAAAAGUAGAAGGAAAAUUCAACAUAAUGGGCAUUAAAAAUCUAAAUAUUGCUCUUUUUUCAACUUUUUAUAGGCUUUUCCCCAAAUAAAACAUAUGCACCCAAAGAAAGAACCUUUAUGUUGGGUGUUCUAUUCUGUAUACUUCUCCCAAUAAUCAUUUCAUGAAUGAUGUUUAAGCCUUCCCACCCCCAAGCAAAUUGCAUAUUUCUUUUUUGAAGUUCCAUCCACACUCACUACAUUUCAGGAAAGAAGGAAAUUGUACAUGGGAACUCACCUGAUCAGCAGCUACUGCUGAUCUGAAACCAUUAGGAUCUGUUACAAUUGUCCCAGCUAUCCCUGCAUUGUUCACCUGUCCAUCACUCAAACAUUUUUUGUUAUCAAAUUUUUAACAAUGUGUCAGUUUCCUUUUGAAGUUCUAAUCAAAGAGACAAAAGAAAAUGGCUACCUUCUCAAAAUAUCAAAAUCACCACAGACAUCCUAUCAAAAAGGCGACAACAUGAAAGCAAAAAUUGUGCUAUUGUGUAUGCUACACAAACCAUCAAUUCAGUGACUGUACAAGAACCCGGAAAAAAAGAAGGAAAAGUAAUCAAGAAAUGGGGGUUUCAACGAUACCAAGAUAUCAAGCUUCCCAAACUGGGUUUUGAUGGAGUCUGCAAGGGAAGCAAUGCUAGCAGGGUCCCCAACAUCAAGUUGAUGAAAACCCACAUUAGAGAGACCAGACCCCUUGAGAUUUUCAAGAGCUUCAACACCCAUCUUCUCAUUUCUAGCUGUUAACACCACUAUCACCCCAUUAGCAGCCAAUUGCCUACAUAUUUCCAAUCCAAUCCCUCUGUUUGCUCCUGUAACCACUGCAUAUCUGAAAUAGAAUAUAUAAGAAAAUAAGUAAAAUAGCUGUUGUAUAUGUGGCGAGAGAUUGUAAAAAGGGCAAGGAAGAAAAACCAAGUACCUCUUUGUUGCUUCAGCCAUUGUUUUUGAGAUGGGAAUUGUGUGUGGAGUAAGAAAAACUCGAGGGGAUUUCAGAUUUAUUUUAAGGUGUGAAAAAGAUUUGGCUUCUGGACAUUUAUCAUCAUAUCAAUUUUUACAAUCAAUGAGGACGAUUUUUUUCCUUUUGUAUUUUCUAUUUCCAGAAAAGUAAAUAGGGGAUUUAUUUCCUUAUGAUAUUGAUUGGAUAACUCACUAGUCAAAAUUGCUUUUGGAAACAAUAUGAAAUAGAAAACAUGUAAAUUAAACCAGAUUUGUGGCCUGCUAUUGAGGGUGGCAGAACAUGAAGAACAAAAAAAAAAAAAAAAAAAAAAACAGGGCAAGUGAGUGUGUGAUUUUGGGCUUGUAUUUGGGGUUUUACCUUGGAAAAUUGUUUUGGUAUUUUUGGUCUUGUAUUAUUGAUUGUGAAAUAGUGAAAACUAAUCCAUGGAUGUAGGUUGGUUUUGACCGAACCACAUAAACCUUUGUGUCUUGAUUAUCAUUUCUUUGGUGUUUGUGUGCAUAAGUUCUUCUUUGUUGUGUGGGUAGUUUUGCAGUUGCAAGGAGUUUGUGCAUUGUAUUGAGUUGGUUGAUUAUUUCUUCUUCAUAUUCCCAUAAUUGGUGUAGUGAACGUGGAAUUAUUGAAGAUGGCUACAACUAAGUUUGAGAUGCAACAAUUCAACAGCAAGGGAGACUUCAGCAUUUGGUUGUAGCAUAUGAGAGCAAUCUUGGUUCAACAAAAGGUUCCUCAAGCACUACAAGGAGAAAAGAACCUUCCAAGCACCAUGAUAGACACAAAGACGCUCAAAACGACAUAUAGCACUAUAUAUGAUCUUGUAUCUUAGUGACAGUGUUUUAAGAAGUGCAACAAGGAGACAACUAUAGUAGGCUUAUGGCUAAAGUUGGGGAGUCUUUAUAUGACAAAAUCUCUCAUGAAUCGGAUUUAUUUGAAGGUAAAACUAUUUGGGUUCAAGAUGCAGGAGGACAAGAAUCUUGAUGAGAACCUCGAUGAAUUCAAUAAGUUGGUUAUUAAAUAGGAGAACAUUGGAGAAAAAAUCAACGAUGAAAAUUAGACGAUCAUAUUAUUGAACUUGUUACCAUCAACCUACAGUCAACUUCGCGAUACCAUUAAGUAUGGUAGGGAUACAUUGUCCUUUGAUGACUUGGAAUCGGCUAUCAAGUCUAAAGGGAAUUGAGGGUAGAGAAAAAGACAAAUAGUCGCAACAAGCUCUUAAUGUUCGAGGUAGAAUGGAGAAAAGAGACAAAAAGAACAAAGGUAAAUCAAGAUCCAAAUUGUAGAGAAAGUUCAAGUGUUAUCACUGCAACAAGAAGGGUCACAUAAGGAGAGAGUGCCUUGAUAGGAAGAAAAAGUCAAAUGAUAAGCAGGAAUCUGGAGACACAUCAGUGGUGUUGGGUGGUUAUGAAUCAAUAAAGGUACUUGUUCACUCAACACAAGAUACUCAUAAAGAGUGGGUUUUAGACUUUGGGUGCUCAUUUUAUAUGAGUCCAAAUUAUGAGUGGUUUCAAACAUUCAAGGAAAUUCAUGGAGGGACCGUCUUACUUGGCAACAACAAGGCAUGUAAGAUAUGAAGAAUUGGAUCCAUUAAGUGUGAAUGUUUGAUGGUUGUAAUAGAGUGCUACAAAAUGUACAGUAUGUUCCAGAGCUUAGGAGAAAUUUAAUUUCUCUUGGGAUGCUUGAUUCGAUAGGUUGUUCUGUCAAAAUUGAAAACGGGGUGAUGAAAGUUGUGAAAAGUGCAUUAACCGUGAUGAUAGAGGUUCUUUCAAAUGGUUUAUACUCUUUUAUUGGUUCAACAGAAUAUGAAAUUACAUCAUCUGUUGUAAUAGAAUAUUAGGAUGACACAACGAAUAAGACUAUUUUAGCAAAUGGUGAGAAUUUCACAAUAGAACGCAAAAUCGUCUACAAAUGAGAGUAAUAAAUCUAAUUUAUGCCACAAGAGGCUAGGGCAUGUAAGUGAGAAAGGUCUAAAUGAGUUGUAUAAAAUGGGGCUGCUUGACAUAAAAAAAAAAAAAAAAACCCUCGGGAAUUUAGAGUUUUGCGAACAUUAUGUGUAUGGUAAAAGUCAUAGGGUGAAGUUUAGUAAAUCAAUGCAUACAACUCAAGGGAUUCUAGACUAUGUUCAUGCGAAUCUCUAGGGUGCAAUGCAAGUUCAAUCCCAUGAUGGAGGCAAGCAUUUUUUUUAUAUCUCAACAACACUAAAAGGAUGAUUAUCAAUUAGUAAGAGACAAGUAGAGAAGAGUUAUAAGACCACCUUAGAAGUAUGGUUAUGAAGACUUAGCAGCUUUUGCUUUUACAGUUGCUAGUGAGUCUCUAAAUCAAGAACUAGAAAGCUAUCAACAACCAAUGAGUUGUGAUGACAAAGAAAAAUGGUAGAAGGCCAUCGAAGAUGAAAUUGAAUCCUUAUAGAAGAACAAGACUUGGAUUUUGGUGGAGAAACCAAAAAAUAAGAAGUUUGUUGACUGUAAGUGGAUUUAAAAGAAGAAAAAUGUUAUACCAGGAGUAGAGAAAACACGACACAAUGCCAGGAUGGUUGCUAGAGGCUUUACACAAAAAUAAGGAGUGGAUUACACAGAGAUAUUCUCUUUAGUGGUGAAACAUAGUUCAAUCCAGAUUUUGCCAACUAUGGUGGCACAUUUUGACAUGGAGCUCGAGCAAAUGGAUGUCAAAACAAUGUUUUUUUAUGGUGAGAUUGAGAAGACUAUUUACAUGAGGCAACCUAACGGUUUUGAAAUUAAAAGCAAGGGAGAUAAGAUUUGUCUAUUAAAUAAAUCAUUGUAUGGUUUGAAACAGUUCUCUCGACAAUGAUGCUUUGAAAGAAGCCAAUUUAAUAAUUGUGAUUACUUCAAGAAGAAAUUAGGUGCUAGUAAUGUCUAUCUUCUAUUGUAUGUUGAUGACAUGUUGUUGGCAAGUUGUGACAAGGCAUCGAUUGAUGAUAUGAAGAAACAACUGAGAAGAAGAUUUGAGAUGAAGGAUUUGGGACCUACCCAAAGAAUACAAAUAGAAAAAGGAAGAAUUUUACUAAAAAAUGGUAUGUUAAUAAGGUGUUGGAGAGGUUUGGCAUGAGUCAAGCAAACCUGUUAGCACUCCACUAGCACAACACUUUAAAAUGACAAAAGAGAAUUCACCUAAGACUGAGAAAGAAGUCAAGUACAUGGAAGAAAUACCAUGUGCUAGUAUUGUUGGUAACAUCAUGUAUACAAUGGUAUGUAGUAGGUCGGAUUUGGCCUAUGCUGCUAGCAUGAUAAGUAGAUUUAUGUCAAAUCUAGGAAAGAAACAUUGGAAUGCAGUGAAAUGGGUCCUAAGGUUUUUGAAAGGAUCUACUGAUGUUGGAAUUCUUUAUGGAGGUGGAGCUGUUGGAGAGUUAGGUGUUGUUUUAGGUAUGUAGAUUCUGAUUAUAUAGGAAGUGUGGACACAAGGAGAUCUUUGACAAGAUAUGUUUUCACAUUGUUUGUUGGAACUAUAAGUUGGAAGUUAGUCUUCAAUCCAUGGUGAUUCUAUCCUUGAUUGAAGUUGAAUAUGUAGCUCUUACAGAAUCUUUGUGGGUUAAGGGGAUAAUUGGUAAGCUAGGGUUAGCACAUAAGAUAUUGACAGUUUAUUGUGAUAAUCAAAGUGCAAUUUGCUUGACAAAGAAUAUCAUAUUUCAUGAAAGAACGAAGCAUAUAGAUGUUUCCUAAGAGAUGUGAUGUCGAAAUGUGAAGUUCUGGUUGAGAAGAUUCAAAUGGAUGACAACCCAACUGAUAUAUUGACGAAGACAUUGGCAACUAUCAAGUUCAAGCAUUGCUUGAGCUUGAUAAAUAUUUUGGGCAGUUGAGAGAAGAUGGAGUAGCAGCAGUUGGAUGAUGACUUCGAAGCCAAGUGGAGAUUUGUGAAAAAGAUUUGGCUUUUGAACAUUUAUCAUCAUACCAAUUUUUACAAUCAAUUAAGAAGAUUUUUUUUCCUUUUGUAUUUUUUGUUUCCAAAAAAGUAAAUAGGGGAUUUAUUUCCUUAUGAUAUUGAUCAGGUAAGUAAUUAGUCAAAAUUGCUUUUGGGAAAUAAUAUGGAAUAGGAAACACGGUGUAAGUCAAACCAGAUUUGUGGCUUACUAUCGAGGAUGGCACAACAUGAAGAAGAUAAAAAAUAAAAUAAAAUAAUAAUAAUAAUAAUAAUAAUAAUAAUAAGGCAAGUGAGUUUGUGAUUUUGGGCUUGUAAUUUGGGGUUUUACCUUGGGAAAUUGUUCUUGUAUUUUUGGCUUUGUAUUAUUGACUGUGAAAUUGUGAAAACUAUUGCUACAAUCCAUGGAUGUAGGUCGGUUUUGACCGAACCACAUAAACCUUUGUGUCUUGAUUAUCAUUUCUUUGGUGUUUGUGUGUGUGAGUUCUUUGUUGUGUGGAUAGUUCUGCAGCUGCAAGGAGUUUGUGCAUUGAAUUGUAUUAAGUUGGUUGAUUAUUUCUUCUUCAUAUUCCCACAUAAGGAUUGUUUACAUUUUCAACUUUGAUAUUUCGUGAUUAAGUGUAAUGAUUAAAGAGGAUUGGUCAGGAAUCUACAUAGAAAAGGGUUAAGCUUGGACAAGAUAUCCUGAACUUCUUCUUGGAAGGAAUCUGACGGAGAAAACUAGGGAACCCAAGAACCAAAACAAAUUAAAGAUGUUGAGCCAAAAGAAGGGAGAUGAACUUUCCCUCAACAGGCUUCUAACAUUUAUUUCAAUUCUAAGAUAUAUUUGAGUUCCAUGAAUUAGCAGAGAGAAAAAAUAAUGCAUAUUGUUGCGAUAGCUUUAUAUGAAAUCAUUACUAUUUUAGGAUUGAAUUUUAUAUUUAAUAUUUUUAUUUUAAAUUAUUUUUAUUAAAAAAUAAGAAUAAUUUUCAUUUAAAAAAAAAUUAAAUUAAAUAAAUUUUAUUUAAUACAAGUCUUAAAAGUCUUGAAGUGUUUAUAGACCUUUCUUUAAGUAUUUCAACAUAAAUAAAUAAAUAAAUUUCAAAACUCAUUCUCUAGAUGUCAUUUGUUUUCCAAAUUAAAAAAUAUUAAUAGCUUAUUCUAUUUUGUAUUCCGAUUAACAUCUUCCAUAUUUAUUUAUUUAUUUAGUAGAUUUGCAAAUUGAUGAUUAUACUCAUCUAUUGCUCUUUAUUGAUUUUAUAAUUUUAAAACUAUUAUGAUGUAUGAAAUUUUAUUUUGAUUAUAAAAAAUUUUAAAAACCAACAUGAAAAAUAUUAAAGUUUGUCUUCCAUGUCAUUGAAUUGCACAAAAAUAUAUUUUCACAUGUGUUUCUCACUUUCUCAUAUUCUAAUAUAGCCCUCAAUUAUUAGUUUACGAGCAUCAUACAUAAUUUAAUUAGUAAGAAAGAAGAAGUAAAAAAUAAAAAUAAAUCAAAUUUAAUAAUUUUCUUUUACAUUCUUGUAUAAGUUUUUAAGAUUUUUCUCUUUAUAUUUUAUUUUAUUUUUCUUCUAUUUGUUUUAGAUCUUCAUAAAUAUUUUUUUUUUAUUGCUUGCAUUAUUUAAACAGAAUGUCACUAUAGCUAAUUUGAUCAAUUGAAUGCUAAUUAAGAAUAUCAAAUUUAUUAUAGUAAUUAGUAAUUAUUAUUAUUAUUAUUAUUAUUAUUAUUUUGUAAUAUUUUCAAAAGAAUAAAUAAACUAGUCAAUGUGUAUGUUAAUUAGACUUCAAAGCAUUAAUCACUUGAAUGUCAUUUUUACAUUUGGUCUUUUUUGUUUGAGGAGCUUAUUAUAUAUAGAUAAUUAUAAACUUUUUUCUCUAACCAAUAUGAGAUAUCACAAUCAUACUUUGGUGUAGGUACAGUGUCUUCAUUGUGUUUUUUAUGGGUUAGACAAUUAAUGCCCCUUACAAAGCUAGAUAAAUUGACUUAUAUGCUUUCGUCAAGGAUCAUCUUUAAAAUCAUUUCUAACAAUAAACUUCCUCUCCUAUAAAUAUUAUUUGUUUUAAGUUAUGAAAAUCAAUCUUUGACUCCAAUGCAAGGUUGUAUACGACCAUGUAAUCUCAUGAAAUAUGACAAGAAUGUUAUGUUUAUAUGAGAAGGGAAGAAAUGAUUGAAAUAUUUUACAUCAAUUGGGAGAAGAUGUUGACAUUAUGUAUGUAGUAGAUUUUUUUAAUUAUAUAAACAUAUUUUAAAAUCAUAAGGGUCUACUAAGAAACAACAAAUAUGUAAUAUCUACAUGAAAAUGAUCACAUUGUUAUAAAUCGACAAAGUCUAUAUUUGAUACCAAUGUAAGGCUUUGUUUAUCUAAUCCCAUAAGGGGUGCAUGUCUCUCUAUCUUUUCCUACAAUCCUAAAAGACACAACAGUGACAUUACAUAUACUCCUCUUCAUGUCUGUGUGAAGAGGUAAUUGUGAUGAUAAAUAUUGAAUAGGGAGAGUUCUCGUUACUACAUUUAUAUAAUAUGUUCUUCUUAAUUAAUAUGUAGAUACAUUUUUAAAAAGUGGAUCAAGAUGUAUAAUAUCUAAAUAAAAGGUAGUAUAUAAUCAUUUCAUUUACUUGGUGAAGUCCUAGAAUUAUAACUUUAACUAACAAUAAAAAUAAAAGAUUAGACUCAACCAAUUCACAAGUUAUUCGUGUCACUAGCUGGCCAAAACCAUCACUUUAAGAGCCAAAUGAAUGAACCAUCAAAACCAUAAAAUAUGACAUUAUUGGUUUAUUUGAUAUUGUUUUCAAAACUUGCCCUUGAAUUUUAUAAUUGGUUUCUCUACUUAUUCUUCAUGAAAGUAGAAUGUAUUUAUAUAUAACACAAAAAUUGCUAAAAUAUUCUCUAUUUUUUCAAUUGUUACUCAUAACAUUUUAGAAAACAGCUCAAAUUUGUUCCAAAUUAAUAAGCACCUUCUUUUCUGAACAAGUAAAAAAAGAAGGAAAAAACACUAUUUUCCUGCAUAUGUAAGAUCACAUACCAUUAUGUGCUUAUAAAGACAUUCAUGCAAACUAUAUGAGAAGUAAUAGACAGUCAGUAUGCUAUGAUGUUCUUACUUCAUAUCUCGUAAUGAAGCAUUUUCAUUUAAAAUUCAGUCACUUCCUUCCGAGAAAAGAAAUGGCCAGAAGGGCCCCCAUCAGGCAACAGAGCUAAUUUCACCGGGCAUUCAGCACCUUCUUCAACAGUUAAGAUGCCAAUGUUGUCGUUGAAAUCUGUUUUGACAUAGCCAGGACAGACACAGUUUAUGCAGAAAGCCGGAUACUUGGUGGCCAGAAUCCUUGUGUAUGCAUUCAAGGCUGCUUUCGAGACCGUAUAUGCAGCGUAAAAAGCAGACCAGUUUUUAGCUUCUAAUAAUCCCUCCUCGAAAUCUUUUAGAAACUGGUUCAACACCUCAUCCACUCUCUCUUCCGUAAGGUUUUCAGCAUCACUUAACACUGCUUUUGCCCAUUCAUUCGUAACAUUCUGGAACAACACAAGAAGAAAAGUAAUGUAAGUUGGGAAGUGCUUGAUGGACUCCCUCUUAAUCAUUCCCAGGAGACCAUUUUCUGGUUGGAAAUGAAAGAAAAGAAGAUCGAAUGAUUCACAGAAACAAAAGGCACUGUCAAUCAACCCUUUUCUUCCAAACAAACCAAGAUGUGUAACGAAAAAUUCAGUAUAUGUCAAACCAAAAUCAUGUGGUUUCGAUUCAACUCAUGUCUAGUUGCAAACAUGGUUGAAUAAAGUAGAUAUAUAUUGUAAUAUCCGGGUUUUUAAAGACCCGUCAGAUUCUUAAAGUAUAAAGUCUUUCAUAAAAUUAUGGGUCAAAUAGUCAAAAAGAGUAGUGAAGAUCUACGUAUUAAUAUUUAAUUGGGAAAGAUUUUGGAAAAAUUAGUCAAAAAUCAAUAGUUUGAAAAUUUUGUCACGUCAAACAUUAGAAAUUAAAUUUAGAUUUGGAGAAAAAUUUAACCAUCAAAUAAUUGAGAUUAAGUUUUGAAAUUUUGAAUUUUAAGUAUGUUACGGGAAUUAAUUUAAUUAUUAUUUAAUAAUUAUCAAAAAAUCAUAGUAAGAAAAACUUUGUAAAAAUUUAUAUUAUAUCAAAUUGUUAUAAUAGAUAAUUAAAAAGAAAUUUAAUUUAAUUUUGUAACGAAUCAAUUUAAUUCUUAUAAUUAAAAUUAAACUUUAUAGAAUUACAAAACAUUAAACAGAGUUAAAUUGAAAUUAAAUUAUGAUAUGUGAAUUUGGAAAAGAUAUACAAAAGGGGUAAGUUAAUUAAAUGUGAAUUUUAUGAAUUUAACUUUUGAAAUUUUGAUGUGAUUUAAUAAUUUGACAAAUGAAGUAAAUUAAAUAAAAAUUAUAUCAAAGGGUUAAAAAAUUGAUUUUUAUAAAUUGAAUGACUAAUUAAUUUAUGAAAUUAAGUUUUAGAAUAUUACUUAAAUUUUUGUUGGUAAAUAAAUACUGGUAAAAUUAAUGGGUUAAGGGUUAUUACAAAUUUCAACUUCUUUGUUGCCAAAAAAAAAAUUUUAUAUUUUCAAUAUUUUAUGGAAUUGAAUUUUGUUAAUAGUUAAUUAUAUUAUGUUUUAAGUGAAUUUUAGAGUAGAAAUAUUUUAGGUAAUUAAAGUCAAAUUAUAUUUUUUUCAAGAGUAGGCUUGUAGUAAAUUUAAUUGCAAAUACGAUAAUAUUUUUCUUGAGACGGAAAAUUAUAAGUUAAGUGUAAUUUAUAAUUGUGAAGUGUGAAGUAAAUAAUGGUAGUUUAAUUUAUUAUUAAAAGAAAGGAAUGGGGAGGCAGGUGCAGGGGAGAUGCAGGGUCCACGUGUCUCCAUCUAUCCGACAGUGAAAUGACCUUCAAUCGUAAUGAAAUUUCAGACGAUGAUAAUCUUCAACGUGGUGAACACUUCUAUAGAGUUGAAUUUUCAAUCCCAUGGUUGGAUUUUACUAUAUAGGUAGGGAUGUGUUUUUCCUAAAUUUCUCUCGAGUUUUUUUGAACUUUUAUUUACUUUCAAAAAACUUCAUGGAAAUGAAUUAAGCAACUAAAAUUUGGGAAUUUGAAAUUCAAAUUCCCUAUCUUCACCUAUAAAUAGAGGUGUCUUCGAUCAAGAAGGAGAAAAUUGAGGAAUCAGAAAAAUCCAGAAAGGAAAAUCCAAGGAGAAAAUCCAAAGGUAACUUCGUACGGGAAAAGGGGUUUCACAACAAAAGAAGCUUCAUCAAAUCUCCCUAUAAGUUCGGUAAAUGGGAAAAAAAAAAAAAAAAGAACUGCUACACACGUUCUUUGUCAUUCAAUAAGGUCAUUCGGGAAUAAACCACUUGUGGCCCUCGAUUGAUCUUCGAAAUCAAAAAAACGUCAUCGUCAUCUUCCAAAGUGUGAUCAAAGUAAAAGAAUUAGAGGGAAAAUAUUCUUUUAGAAAGAAUAUUAUUUUUCUGAGAUUGUACCCACAAUAUAUUUUUAAUUUCAAUAAAUAUUUUGUUCACAUUAUUUUCCUAUUUUGUUUUGCUAAUUUGGCAGGACCAAAAUUUAAGCAAUUUGUGCGUACAAUUGGUUUUGGAAAAAAUAAAAUAAUAUGUUAUAAUAAAUCUUAAUUUAAUAAGUUUAUUUAGGAUUAGACGCUUUAAUGAAAAAAAAAAAAAAACAAGGUGUUUUGAUUGAUUGCCAACGUGGAUAGGAAUAACCAAUGUUUUCAAAAUCGGACCGAUCAUUGAACCGAAAAACCAGACCUAUCAUUGAACCAGAAAAGUUACCAGUUCACAAUUCUCUAGUCGAAUCGUGGUCAAACCAAUGACGUCAUAAAUAUAUAAUUUAUAAAUUAUUAAAUUUUAAAAUAAUUAUAAAAAAAAUAAUAAUUUAUAGAUUAUUUAAAAAUUAAAAUUUUAUUUGAAAAUCAAAAAAUUAGUUUCAAAUUUAAAAUUUAAAUUAAAAUCAUAAUUUUAAUUUACAAUUUUAAAAUUCAUUUUUAAAUUAAAAAAGAAAACUUAUUUUAAAAUCAGAAAUUGAUUUAAAAUUGUAAUUUUUUAUUAAUUUAAAUUAAAAUCAUAAGUUUUAAACAUGAAGUAAAAAAAUAAUAAAUAUAUAAAUAAAUAAAUAAUAUAGAGAUGAGACAAAAAAUAAUAAUUUUAAAAAUAAAUAAAUCUGGAAGAAGGGAUGAGAGGGUCGGGCAAAAAGAUGAUACUUUUUCCAUUGUGGGGGUUCCAAUGGGGGUCGCUAGGAGGGGGGGGGUUUCCUCCAGCAGCAGCACGAGGUGGGGGGNNNNNNNNNNNNNNNNNNNNNNNNNNNNNNNNNNNNNNNNNNNNNNNNNNNNNNNNNNNNNNNNNNNNNNNNNNNNNNNNNNNNNNNNNNNNNNNNNNNNGUUUGGGGGGUGGGGGGAGAAGGGGGUUGGCUUUUCCAACGUGGGGUGUGGGCGAGGGUUCUUGGGGGUAGCAUGGGGGAGUGGGGGGUUGGUUUCCACCAACAGUAGCACGGGGUGGAGGGAUGGGGAAGGGGGUUCCUACAAAAUAAGGGAAUGACCUUUUCCAAUGGGGGUUGUGGGGGGGGUUUUCUGGGGAUCACAAAGGAGAGUGGGGUCCAGCCUCCACCAACAGUAGCAGGGGGUGGGGGUGGGGGAGGGGGUUUCUAGCAAGGUCGUGGAAGGACGGGGUUUCCAGCACGGGCGUGUGUUCCGACGAGCAAAAAAGAGAAGCUUUUCCAACGCAGGGGUCUUGCGGACGGGGGCCGACGACAAUGGGAGGAAAAAAAUAAUUUUAAUCAAACCCAUCGGUUCGAAGAGAACUGGACGGUUCGUCCAAUUUACCGGUUGGAUCGCCGGUUCAAACGGUCCAACCCCAGUUCAAUGCCAUUCCAGUCCAAUUGACCGGGCCGGACCGGAACCGUGACCAGCCGACGGUCGAACCAGUCGGACUGGCUGGUCCAAUCCGAUUUUUAAAAUCAUGGGAAUAACCCUUAGGGUCAAACCUUUGACCUAUGGUCACGAGUUGAGUUGUGGGUUACCCCGAAGCUAGGGCAUGACAUAUAUAUAUACCAACAUUUUUAUUUCUAAAUUGAAUGAGGGUGGUUGGUGUUAUGUUGUACCUGCAACUUCCCUAGAGAGGAGGAGACGUUAACAAUCCUUGGUGAAUCUGAUAAUUGGAGAAGAGGAAUGAAAGCUUCAGCCAUCCUCUUUGGCCCGUAAUAGUUUAUUUUCACGCAUUCUUCCGCCAGCUCCAAGGGCUGAGUCAUUAUACCAUGCCAGUUGACUUGUUCUCCUGCCUGCAAAACAAAAUGAAGAAAAUCUCAAUCUUCUCAGUAGCCAUUCGGAGAAGAAGAAAACUGCUUCUGGUACAUAUAUAACGAGAUUUUCUCCCAUAAUUCUAGAAAAAUUUUCUUUCUUUAAAAUUGUAUAUGAAAACUUAUCUCGGUAGCAGCAACUCCCGAUUCUAAAGCAACAGGAUCCUUUACAAUCGAUCCACUCAUCCCUGCAUUGUUCACCUGUCCAGUAUCCCAAGAAUUAUUCAGCUCCAAAAUUUUCAGGAAUCAUUGGGGAAUUCAUUGGGAAAUCCAUCUCACAAAACAUAUAUAUAUAUAUAUAUAUAUAGAUGAGCACAAUCUAAAGUACCGGAAUUCACAGCUAAAAUUCUUCUUAGGUACUGUUUUCGUGGAUGUGAGGAGGAUAGUUGAUACGGGAGAGAAUCAAAAUAAACAUCACUCAAUCAUAUAGGUUACGAAUGCAAUGUUCUAAAUGAAUUGCCAGAAGAAGAACCAAUAAAACAAAAAAGAUGGAAAAAAAAAAUCAUCAAGAAAUGAUCAGGGUUUCAAUCUUACCAAGAUAUCAAGCUUCCCAAACUGGGUUUUGAUGAAAUCUGCAAAAGAAGCAAUACUAGCAGGGUCCCCAACAUCAAGCUGAUGAAAAACCAGGUUAGAGAGACCAGAUCCAUUGAGACUUUGAAGAGCUUCAACACCCCUCUUUUCAUCUCUAGCUGUUAACACCACUCUCACCCCACUGGCGGCCAACUGCCUACAUAUUUCCAACCCCAUCCCUUUAUUUGCUCCUGUAACAACUGCAGACCUGAAAUUCAAUACACUAGAAAAAUAAGAAAACCAGUUGUUAUAUAUGUGCUUGCAGAUUGUGAAGAGGGGACAUGGGAGAUCAACCAAGUACCUUGUUAUUGCUUCAGCCAUUGUCUGUGAGAUGGUAAAGUUUGAUUAAUUAAUUCACUCUUAUAGCAAGAAUGCUGCUAAAGUUUUCAACAUUGAUAUUUUGAUAGGAAAUUGACGUUUGCGGUCAUAAAAGCAAGGCAGAUGAUUUUCUGGAUAGAGAUAAGACGCAUGUGGUCAUAAAAGACGCUCAUGUAAUAAUAAAGAUUGAUUUUUUUUCAUAUAGGAAAAUGACAUUGUGACAUCAUGGAUGACGCUUUGGAUAGUAAACUACGUCUAUGAUGUCACUAACGACGUUUUUUACAAGUUUCAACCAAUGAAACAUCAUUAAUUUAAUUUUUUUUAAUCAUGUCAUGUGGUCAUAUAUAAAAGCAAGCACAAUAUUAUUAUUGUAAUGAAAAUUGAUAUUCUUAUAUUAUAUAAUCCAAUGACUAAGUCAAAAAUUAAAUUAGACGGUUGGUUUUCAUUUCUUAUUUUUUUGUGGUACUCAUGAUUGAAUAUAAAUAAAUUUAAUACUAGUUUGAAUUGUUUAAAAAAUAAAACUUAAAAAGAAAAUGGUGUUUCAUAAUUGUAUAACUGUUUUGAGAAUUGUUAUAUGAUGUAAGUAUAUAAUCGUUUUAAAAUUUUUGAAAUAUGGUUUUUUUAGAAAAAAUAUGAAAUGUUUUUCAAUCAAAUCAUUUUUAUGGGUUAUUAUUAAAUAUAAUUGAGAUUAUGACAAGCACGUAUUUGAGAUUUUUUUUACAUUCAAAUUCUUAGAUAUAAUCAUGUUAGAAUUAUUUUUAAGAAUAGUUAUUAAUAAGAUAAAAAUCCCUAAAAUUUUCUAUUAUACUAAUUAAAAAAAAAAACUCCUUAUUGUAAGGUCAGUAAAUAAGAAAUUGACUAUAAUUUAAAAAAAUAAAAAAUCUUCUAUUUAAAAAAGAACAAUUUGGUUUUAGAACAAAUACUGAUAAAAACUAGUUUCAAUUGUUCAAGAAUCCAAGAUCACAAGUCAUUAUGCAGUUAGAAAGACAUUCCAACAUAAAAAUUAGUCACCCUACAAAUCUAUGCUCACAUGCCAUAUGUACUAACAAAGCAUUCUAGCAUAAAAAUUAAUCAUAAGCAACCUGGGAUUCAUACAAAUUAUAGAGAAGCCAUAAACAGUAUCUCUGUGCUAUGAUGUUCUUAGUUCAUAUGUAGUAAUGAAUCUUUUUCAGUUAAAAUUCAGACACUUCCUUCCGAACGAAGAAUUGGCCGGAAGGCCCCCCAUCAGGCAGCAGAGCCAAUCUCACAGGGCUUUCAGCACCUUCUUCGAUAGUUAAGAUGCCACUGUUGUAGUUUAGAUCUGUUUUGACAAAGCCAGGACAGACACAGUUGAUGCAAAGAGUAGGACACUUCCUGGCCAGAAUCCUUGUGUAGGCAUUCAAGGCUGCUUUUGAGACUGUAUAGGCAGAGACAUUAGAGGGCCAGCUUUUAGCUUCUAAUAAUCCCUCUUUGAAAUCUUUUAGAAACUGGUUUAAGACCUCAUCCACCCUCUCUUCUGUAAGGUUUUCAGCAUCACUUAACACUGCUUUUGCCCAUUCAUUCUUAAUAUUCUGGAACAACACAAAAAAGAAAAUUAAUGUAAGCAAAAAUACGACUUGGGGAAAUGCUUCAUUGACUCCCACACAAACAAAAGGCAACAGCCCUUAAUCAUUCACAGCAGAUGAUUUCCAGGAAAAUAAGCAAGUUAUGUGCAUUAUAUAAUAGUAUGCAUUACCUCAAUAUUAUUAAUUACACUUACCAAACAGCAUCAAUCAACCCUUUUCUUCAUAUGGUUUUCUUCUAAACAAAUCAAGAUGUGACAAGUAGAUCUUCCAUCACCAAUCUAAAGUUCAAUAAGCUUACAAAAAUAUUUUGCUCUGUUGACUCAAUCAAGGCAUCUUUUGAGUGGAGCUGUAAUGAAAAAUUCACAACGAAACUUGAUCCUUCCAAGUUUCAAACUGAAUCAUUUGGCUCCAAUCCAACUCUACUGAAUUUCAUCAAAUUGCCCAAUUACAAACAUGGUUGAACAUCUUAAGUAUAUAUCAACAUUGUAUUCUGAAUGAGGAUUAGUGUUAUUUUGCACCUGCAGCUUUCCCAUUGAGGAGGAAACAUUGACAAUCCUUGGCGAAUCUGAUAACUGGAGAAGAGGAAUGAAAGCUUCAAUCAUCCUCUUUGGCCCAUAAUAGUUUAUUUUCAGGCAUUCUUCCACCAGCUCGAAAGGCUCAAUCAUUAUUUCCUUCCAAUUGACUUUUCCUACUGCCUGCAAAAUAAAAUGAAGAAAAUCUCAAUCCUCUUGGUAGCCAUUAUAUUCCCUACUCCAACAUAAAAAGAGAAGAAGAAAACUGCUUCUGGUAUGCAACAAGAUUUUCUUCCAUAAUUCUAGUUUCUAGAAAAGAUUUUCAUCUUCCUUUCAAGAGAAGGUAGAAGAAAAACUCAACAGCAUGGGGCCUUAGAAGUCUAAAUGUUGCUCCUUUUCAACUUUCAAAUAUACCCCAAUGGCUAUUAGAAUUUCAAAUCCACUCUUCUUUGAACUUACAACCACAAUCAAUUGCUUUAAGCCAAUAAAGAAAUUGUGUAUGAUACCUUACCUCAGCAGAAGCAUAUCUUGACCUUAAAGCAUCAGGAUCCGUUACAACCGUUCCACCUAUCCCUGCAUUGUUCACCUGUCCAGUAUCACACAUUUCUAUUAUCCAAUUUUUAACUAUAAAAGAACAAAAAAAUAAAGAAAUAAAAAGAAAGUUAUUAGAUACCUUCCAGCUAUUUAGAGGUCCUCCAUUCCUCAAGAAAUAUUCACUUCAAAAAUUUUCAAAGAAUCAUGGUGGAUAAGGAGAGAUUUGUUUUCUCAAGUGCAAACAUAUAUGGAAUUCAUUGGCAAAUCCACCUCAUAAAAGUUUAUGCAACUCCAUAUGGAUUGAUGGAUAUAAAAAAGAGAGAAAAUGAUGGAACCGAGGAGAGUAAAUAGGGCACUGGUUUAUAGUGGAAUAAGUAUAAUGAUAUACAAUCUGGACAUUACACAAUACAAAAAUUCUACUUGUGGGAACGGUCAAACCAAAGGACACAUGUUAUACGAAGAGACACGAGUCAUUUGGCGAUAGGGAUUUCAAUGGCAAUGACCUAGAAUGACCGCCCUGCUUUGAGGCAACCAUUGCAACAAGAUGUGAACCUUUCCCCUCUUAGGAUGGCAGACAUUGCAUCUAUUGUGACGAGAUAAACAAUAAAUGCUAUUAACUCCUCCUACAUUGCAUCAGAAGAACCUUCAACAUAAAUUAUGAAGCUAUGAUAGUUAAUCAAGGACAAGAUUAGGUGAUCAAUCACUCAGCUAUAGAAUGGAGCAGACAGCUCAAUAACUGGUGGGAUCAGACCCACCAAAUCAGUGCAACCCUGAAUGAUAUAAAGACCCACAAGGGAAGGGGGAUUUCUCUAUUUUGAAUUCCUUCUCUUACCAAUUUAUCUAUUUAAGCCCUUGAGAUGCCCAUCAUCGACUUGAUCCUCAGAAAAGAAUUGACCUAACUGGCCUCCCCACUCUAACCAUGCAUUUUAGUGUUAUAGAGGAAGGCUCAUCAAUAAGAAAGGUUAGCAACUUGCUUGGAGGGUGAAACUCUACUCAGACAGAAAACUUUAGUUUUUAACAUGGACUAUGUAGCAUAUAUUUGGAUAAGGUUAUGCUCCAAUCUCCACUGCUAGCAAAAAUAGGGGCACAACCUCAAGGACCUGACUUCCCAGCUAGAAUUCUUCUUAGGUACUGUUUUUGUGGAUGGGAGAGGAUAGUUGAUAUAGAAGAGAAUCCAAAAGAAACAUUAGUCAAUCAUAUACGUCACAAUUUCAAUGUUUCUAGCGUAUUUCUCUCCAGUAAACCGAGGCCCUUCUUUCCUCACAUAGAACAACAACAAAAGGUUCUCCAUUUUGGUGGUUGCUUCAGAUAAAGUGGUCUAUCACAGUACAAAAGACAUGCCAAUUGAAGGCAAAUGGGAAAUUUGCUAUCUUAAAAAAUCAUCAUAAUCAUUGAAAUUGUCAGAGACAUUCAUAAACAUAUUCUCAGAAAAGGGGGAAAUUGAAAGGAAAAUUUUGGGUAAAUUGGGUAUGCUGUAAAUCAUCAAUCCAGGAGUAUCCAAGACUUGUGAUUGCCAUAAGAAGAACCAAUUAAACCAGAGAAAAAAAAAAAGGAAAAAAAUCAUCAAGAACUGAGGGUUUCAAUCUCACCAAGAUAUCAAGCUUCCCAAACUGGGCUUUGAUGAAAUCUGCAAUGGAAGAAAUACUAGCAGGAUCCCCAACAUCAAGCUGAUGAAAAACCAGAUUAGAGAGACCAGAUCCUUUGAGACUUUCUAGAGCUUCAAGACCCCUCUUCUCAUCUCUAGCUGUUAACACCACUCUCACCCCAUUGGCAGCCAACUGCCUACAUAUUUCCAACCCAAUCCCUUUAUUUGCUCCCGUAACAACUGCAUACCUGAGUCACACCCAAUACACAAGAAAGUAAGAACAACAGUUGUUUUAUAUGUGGUUGGAGAUUGUGAAAAGGGCCAUGGGAUAAAAACCAAGUACCUUGUUGCUGCUUCAGCCAUUGUUGAUGAGAUGGGUACUGUGUUUGAAGUGCGGAAGAAGAUGGAAUUUUUGUUUCAUUGCAAGGUUUGUUGUACUAAAAACAAGAGCAAUGAAGAUUAUUGUAAUGCAUUCGAUUGAGACAGAAAUUACAAUUUACAAGUAGAGUUGUUGUUCCCUUUCUUAUUUUUUGUGGUACUCAUGAUUGGAUAUCGACAAAUUUAACAGGCUUUAGUUUGAAUUGUUUGGCAAAUCAAACUUGGUGUUUGGUAAUUGUUUCUAAAACUGCUAUACUAUAUAACCAAUUUUUUUGAUAAUUCAUUUUAAAAAUAUAAAGUUUUUUAAAAUAGAUUUAAUAUAUUUUUUUUAUCAUUUUGUGUAAAAUAUUAUUAAAAAUUUACCUUUGAUUUUUCAAACACAAUCUUAUUUUAAUUAUUUUUUAAAAUUAUUCUUGAUAAAAAUAAAAUAAAAAUAACAAGCCUUAAAUUUUUUUAUUAUACAAAGUCUAAGGUUAAUUAUAAAUUUAGAUAAAAAAAAUUUCCUACACAAAACAAAGACUUUUAAAAACAAGUAGUAGACUUGGAAGAAAAAAGGAAAAAAUGAAAUUCUAUUUCAUAUAUUAUGAAAGCGUGGGCCUUUUUAUAAUUAUUUCAUUUAUUAUGAAAAUGAGUUUCCUAAAUAUUCCCUUAUAUUACCCAUGUGAUAGAUGGUUUCUCUUCUCAAUUAUUUUGGAUAUCUUUUUAAUUACUCUCUAAUUUCAAAUUAUUUGACAUUAACGAGUUCAACAAGACAAAUUGAAGUUUUGCCCUUUCAAUAUAAGUCCUUAAUUUGAAUUAACUUAUGCAAUUCUUUGAAUAUUUACAAUAUAUAUAUAUAUAUAUAUAUAUAUAUAUAUAUAUAUAUAUAUAUAUAUAUAUAUAUAUAUAUAAGGGUUUGACUUUGACAAACUCUUAUCUCCCUGCCCUUUGCACCUUACCCCUUGAGGAAUCUAUGGGAAAAAAACAAGACACUUGUAAAAAAUAAAACAAUACAUGAUUUAAAUUUAGAACAAGACAGAUGUUGACUCUUCAACAUUUUAAUAGAUAACGAAUUUAUUAUAGGACAAGUUCCAAAAAAUUAAUCAGUUUAUAAAUUUAUUAUAAUCUAAACCUAAUUUUUUAGCAUACAAACCACACCCAAGUUUCUAAAUAUGUAUGUGGUCAUAAAAGCAAUUGCAAAUGCAAGGCAGAUGAUGACGCUCAUGUGAUAAUGAAGAUUGAUUUUUUUCAUAUAGGAAAAUGACAUUGUGACAUCAUGGAUCACGCUUUGGAUAGUAAACUGCGUCUAUGAUGUCACUAAUGACGUUUUUUACAAGUUUCAACCAAUGAAACAUCAUUAAUUUAAUUUUUUUAAUCAUGUCAUGUGGUCAUAUAUAAAAGCAAGCACAAUAUUAUUAUUGUAAUGAAAAUUGAUAUUCUUAUACGAUAUAAUCCAAUGACUAAGUCAAAAAUUAAAUUAGACGGUUGGUUUUCAUUUCUUAUUUUUUUGUGGUACUCAUGAUUGAAUAUAAAUAAAUUUAAUACUAGUUUGAAUUGUUUAAAAAAUAAAACUUAAAAAGAAAAUGGUGUUUCAUAAUUGUAUAACUGUUUUGAGAAUUGUUAUAUGAUGUAAGUAUAUAAUCGUUUUAAAAUUUUUGAAAUAUGGUUUUUUUAGAAAAAAUAUGAAAUGUUUUUCAAUCAAAUCAUUUUUAUGGGUUAUUAUUAAAUAUAAUUGAGAUUAUGACAAGCACGUAUUUGAGAUUUUUUUUACAUUCAAAUUCUUAGAUAUAAUCAUGUUAGAAUUAUUUUUAAGAAUAGUUAUUAAUAAGAUAAAAAUCCCUAAAAUUUUCUAUUAUACUCAUUAAAAAAAAACUCCUUAUUGUAAGGUGAGUAUAUAAGAAAUUGAUUAUAAUUUUAAAAAAAAAAAUCUUCUAUUUUAAAGAGAACAACUUGGUUUUAGAACAAAUACUGAUAAAAACAAGUUUCAAUUGUUCAAGAAUCCAAGAUCACAAGUCAUUAUGCAGUUAGAAAGACAUUCCAACAUAAAAAUUAGUCACCCUACAAAUCUAUGCUCACAUGCCAUAUGUACUAACAAAGCAUUCUAGCAUAAAAAUUAAUCAGUUUAUAAAUUUAUUCUAAUCUAAACCUAAUUUUUUAGCAUACAAACCACACCCAAGUUUCUAAAUAUGUAUGUGGUCAUAAAAGCAAAUGCAAAUGCAAGGCAGAUGAUGACGCUCAUGUGAUAAUAAAGAUUGAUUUUUUUCAUAUAGGAAAAUGACAUUGUGACAUCAUGCAUCACACUUUGGAUAGUAAACUGCGUCUAUGAUGUCACUAACGACGUUUUUUACAAGUUUCAACCAAUGAAACAUCAUUAAUUUAAUUUUUUAUAAUCAUGUCAUGUGGUCAUAUAUAAAAGCAAGCAAAAUAUUAUUAUUGUAAUGAAAAUUGGUAUUCUUAUAUGAUAUAAUCCAAUGACUAAGUCAAAAAUUAAAUUAGACGGUUGGUUUUCAUUUCUUAUUUUUUUGUGGUACUCAUGAUUGAAUAUAAAUAAAUUUAAUACUAGUUUGAAUUGUUUAAAAAAUAAAACUUAAAAAAAAAAUGGUGUUUCAUAACUGUAUAACUGUUUUGAGAAUUGUUAUAUGAUGUAACUAUAUAAUCGUCUUAAAAUUUUUUAAAUAUGGUUUUUUUAGAAUAAAUAUGAAAUGUUUUUAAAUCAUUUUUAUGGGUUAUUAUUAAAUAUAGUUGAGAUUAUGACAAUUACGUAUUUGAGAUUUUUUUUUACAUCAGAUAUAAUCUUGUUAGAAUUAUUUUUAAGAAUAGUUAUUAAUAAGAUAAAAAUCCCUAAAAUUUUCUAUUAUACUAAUUAAAAAAAAAACUCCUUAUUGUAAGGUCAGUAAAUAAGAAAUUGAUUAUAAUUUUUUUUUUAAAAUCUUCUAUUUAAAAAAGAACAAUUUGGUUUUAGAACACUGAUAAAAACUAGUUUCAAUUGUUCAAGAAUCCAAGAUCACAAGUCAUAUGCAGUUAGAAAGACAUUCCAACAUAAAAAUUAGUCACCCUACAAAACUAAACUCACAUGCCAUAUGUACUAACAAAGCAUUCCAGCAUAAAAAUUAAUCAUAAGCAAUUCUGGGUAGUCUUAUUAGCCUAGGAUUCAUACAAAUUAUAGAGAAGCCAUAAACAGUAUCUCUGUGCUAUGAUGUGCUUAGUUCAUAUGUAGUAAUGAAUCUUUUUCAGUUAAAAUUCAGACACUUCCUUCCGAACGAAGAAUUGGCCGGAAGGCCCCCCAUCAGGCAGCAGAGCCAAUCUCACAGGGCUUUCAGCACCUUCUUCGAUAGUUAAGAUGCCACUGUUGUAGUUUAGAUCUGUUUUGACAAAGCCAGGACAGACACAGUUGAUGCAAAGAGUAGGAUACUUCCUGGCCAGAAUCCUUGUGUAGGCAUUCAAGGCUGCUUUUGAGACUGUAUAGGCAGAGAGAUUAGAGGGCCAGCUUUUAGCUUCUAAUAAUCCCUCUUUGAAAUCUUUUAGAAACUGGUUUAAGACCUCAUCCACCCUCUCUUCUGUAAGGUUUUCAGCAUCACUUAACACUGCUUUUGCCCAUUCAUUCUUAAUAUUCUGGAACAACACAACAAGAAAAGUGAUGUAAGCAAAAAUACGACUUGGGGAAAUGCUUCAUUGACUCCCACACAAACAAAAGCCAACAGCUCUUAAUCAUUCACAACAGAUAAUUUCCAGGAAAAUAAGCAAGUUAUGUGCAUUAUAUAAUAGUAUGCAUUACCUCAAUAUUAUUAAUUACACUUACCAAACAGCAUCAAUCAACCCUUUUCUUCAUAUGGUUUUCUUCUAAACAAAUCAAGAUGUGACAAGUAGAUCUUCCAUCACCAAUCUAAAGUUCAAUAAGCUUACAAAAAUAUUUUGCUCUGUUGACUCAAUCAAGGCAUCUUUUGAGUGGAGCUGUAAUGAAAAAUUCACAACGAAACUUGAUCCUUCCAAGUUUCAAACUGAAUCAUUUGGCUCCAAUCCAACUCUACUGAAUUUCAUCAAAUUGCCCAAUUACAAACAUGGUUGAACAUCUUAAGUAUAUAUCAACAUUGUAUUCUGAAUGAGGAUUAGUGUUAUUUUGCACCUGCAGCUUUCCCAUUGAGGAGGAAAC